CUGAGUGAGGGAGCAAUCCCGACCUCCAACCCUUUGUGAACGCAUCAUGUUGCUUCGGGGGCGACCCUGCCGUUCGCGGCAUUCCCCCCGGAGGUAACCAAAACACUGCAUUAUUACGUCGGAGUAAAAAGUUAAUUUAAUA
Molecule: unclassified non-coding RNA, 142 nt
Filed under: uncultured Mycosphaerellaceae
Lineage: Eukaryota; Fungi; Ascomycota; Dothideomycetes; Mycosphaerellales; Mycosphaerellaceae
Source: RNAcentral